This 422-nucleotide ribosomal RNA is filed under the name uncultured archaeon. RNAcentral describes it as "bacterial SSU rRNA". It matches the Rfam family "Archaeal small subunit ribosomal RNA", at positions 322 to 746 of the family's 1478-position model. The record is from RNAcentral.
CCUACGGGGUGCACCAGGCGCGAAACCUCCACAAUGCUCGAAAGAGUGAUGGGGGUACUCCGAGUGUCUAUGCGUUGCAUAGUCUUUUCCUCGGCGUAAAUAGUCGGGGGAAUAAGGGCUGGGCAAGACCGGUGCCAGCCGCCGCGGUAACACCGGCAGCCCCAGUGGUGACCGCUUUUAUUGGGCCUAAAGCGUUCGUAGCCUGACAGGCAAGUCUUUGGGUAAAUCCUACGUCUUAAGCGUGGGCAUUCUAAAGAUACUACCUGUCUUGAGGCCGGGAGAGGCUAGAGGUACUCCUGGGGUAGGGGUAAAAUCCUAUAAUCCUGGGGGGACCACCGAUGGCGAAGGCAUCUAGCUGGAACGGGCCUGACGGUGAGGAACGAAACCCAGGGGAGCGAGCCGGAUUAGAUACCCCCGUAGUC